This 905-nucleotide long non-coding RNA is filed under the name Populus tremula. RNAcentral describes it as "long non-coding RNA (PTRE_LNC002524)". The record is from RNAcentral. Lineage: Eukaryota; Viridiplantae; Streptophyta; Magnoliopsida; Malpighiales; Salicaceae.
GCACCUGUUUCUGGCGAUUGGAGAAGGCUGCAGCGCUGGUGUGGCUGCUUUGAUUCGGUCGCUUUCCACUCUUUUCCAGGUAUGCUCGCUGUUUGAUUUCUCAGUUCUUGAGAUGAAAAACUUCUGUUUCUCUUGAAUUGUGUUCUGUCGUUUCCAGGUGAAGACUAGUGGAUGAUAGCGAUGCGGUUUGUCGAUCUUCUUUGGUUCGGUGGCGUUUUCUUUUUUUGCAGGGACGAAGAUAAAGGCAGGGCUGAUCUGUGACUCUCCUGUAUCUUUUCUUCUCUGUAUAUUUUUUUUGUGUUGUGAUUCUUUUGUUUUGUUUUUCUCGGCUCUGUUUUCUUGUUUUUCUCUGUUUUUCUGGGUUGUAUUUUUUAUUGCUCUGUUUUUCUCUAGGUUGAUCUCUCCCUCCCAUUUUUUUUGGUUUAGGUUUUCUUCCCCUUUUAUAGAGACCCAGCCGCUAACCAGUCCUGCCUUUGCAGGACUGUUAUCUUCCACGAACGAGAUCGUGGGCGAGAGCCGUGAUCCACGAUUGGUUCAAAUCCGUUGCAGAUGCAAAGGACUGUUAUCUUCCACGAACGAGAUCGUGGUCGAGAGCCGUGAUCCACGAUUGGAUCAAAUCUGUUGCAGAUUUUCAGCCUGUUGAAUCGGGAUGGAGAAGACGAACACGGCUAUUCCACCAGCAACGACGAUGUUUUGGCAACACUGUAUUCCUAGUAUCAACGGCAUCGUUUCGGCAACAGUGGCAUUUUCAUUUUGACCUCUGAACUUUGGAAUUGUAACCGAUGGAUCUCAAUUGAAUAAAAAUUCCUUUUAAUUUUGCCCCUUUUUUAUAAGUUUCAAUUAAAUCCCUCAAUUGGUGCACUGUUUACAAAACAGUCCUUAAUUCCUGGAUUAUUCAAUUUGAU